This is a non-coding RNA of Mycena crocata, 93 nucleotides long. NCBI's taxonomy places the organism in Eukaryota, Fungi, Basidiomycota, Agaricomycetes, Agaricales, Mycenaceae. The record is from the annotation of a GenBank genome assembly.
GCCCACAUAGAUCAAUGGUAGAUCGCCUCGAAUAAUUAUCUGUAACAUUUCUUUGAUAUCGAGGAAACGGAGGUUCGAAUCUUUCCGUGGGUA